Non-coding RNA from Coturnix japonica (Japanese quail), 4365 nucleotides. NCBI's taxonomy places the organism in Eukaryota, Metazoa, Chordata, Aves, Galliformes, Phasianidae. The record is from RefSeq and is a predicted model, not a curated record.
CAUUUGAAUGGGGGAAAGGAGAGCGCGCAGCGCUGCGGCCGCGGGCCGUGCCCCGGGGCACUGUGGGAUUGCGGCGGGGCGCUCAGGGGCUCCUGCCCCUCCCCCGCCUGGCGGCCGUACCUCAAUGUCCGACGGCCGGGCUGUGUCACCGGGCCGCGAUAACAGUGAUGGUUUGGCCCGUGGCUGCUUAGGGCUCGUAAUCGUGACAGGAUUUCCUCACACAGAGCUGCAUGUAGGGAACCUGUGUGAGAGUGGGGCUGCGUGGCCCAAAGUUCACCUCAGCAACUCCUGAGAGGAGCUGCACAGUGCGAUGUGUGGGCUGUGAAGGAAAGUUGAAGGAGCUGGGCCCGUUCAGCUUGGAGAAAGCACUGUGGAAACUUCACUUCUUCUGGCUGAUGUGUUGCAGACACGAGGCCCACAUCUGGAACUUGCAGGCCAUGUAACGUGGCGCUCGUUUUCUAUCUACUGUUCCUGUCGUAGCCAGAACAGCACAAGAAGUAUCUUUCAGGAUGUGAGUACCCAGCUUUAGUGGCCACUUUUUGUGUAGCAAAGGUUCUAAUACGUGAGGCAGAGACAUGGAAAGAAUUGGAGGGAGAAUUGCUAUGUGAAAAGCAGAGAAAAGAUGAAGGCAGAAUGGAGCAUAUGAAGGAGAUAACUGGGAUUUGGGGAUGUUUUGCUUGUGUGAGUGCUGCUCCCAGAUUGUUUUAUCAUCAGGACGAACGUGCUGGAGGUUGUGCUUUAACCCAAGGCAAAGAGGUGGUAAAGUUGUCAUCCAGAAGAGCACACAGCUUGUAUUUCACUUGAAUAAUCAGACUGGUUGUGGCCAUUGCUCUGCCAUUGCCAACUUGCUCUCUGAGCAAGUGUAUCACACCUAUCUGAACUGCAGUAUUUCUGCUGGGAAGCCACUGCUGCUUUCUAUGUCUGGGACCAAUGCUAGGAGCCUGUCUAGAAGAGCAAAGGGAGCUGCCUGCACAGGACUGAGGUGCCCUGGGAAUGGGCCUUAAAUUCCCUGCUGUGAGAGAAAAAAGGGAUGGCAAGAAGGAAAAGAAUUGUAAAGAGCGGCAGGCUGGGCACUGUUUGUGCUGCCUCAUUUUAACCCUGAUCUAGCCCAGAAUUUCAUCUGUUCUCAUCUCUGUGCAGAGAGCAGGGAAGUCUGAGGUUGUGUCAGUAACAUUCACCACCCAGCCUGUGCUUUCUAGAACACCAGAUCCCAGGGGAACCUCCAGUCUCUACACAGUGAUGUUUAAUGGCACAGUAACUUCUGCUCUGUUCUGUCCUUGUCAUAUUGGAGCUCAGGUCACAAGGAAGAGGUAGGAAUGGGGCAGGACUGAGUGUGGGCACAAAGAACAGCGGAUAAACAGUUUGAACAGAGCUCUGGAGGAUGUUCUUUGUGAAUGAACACACCAAGGUGCUGUGUCAGAGGCCAUGAAAAGAACCACACAUCCUCCAACCAUUUAAUGGGAGCAAUUCUAUCUCUACAACACAAGAGAAUUGAGCAAGCCUUGUGCAAUCACAUGUAAGGUGUUCAGGGUUUUAUUUACAUGAAAGAGGGCUUUGCAUUGGAAAGAAUCAUCCUUGAGUCUUUCUCCUGUUUGAUUCUGCAGAUGGAAUUAAGGUUUUCCCUUGGAGCAAUAAAAGCCAUUCUAAGGGAACACUCUUUAAGUCCCUUUCUGGGGCUAAUGUUUGUUAUCAGAUACACACAAACACACAGAAACACAGCAACCAAAGACAGAUGAUGCUGGUAGAAGAAUACUGAGAGGGUGUAUGUGAGCUCAGAAUAAAUAAGAAUAAAAAGUAAUAAUAAUUGCAAUAGUUGCAAGGGCUUUUCCCUGCACGCUGUAGUGGGCACACUCACUCCCUGCACACUCACAGGAGUCCAGGGUUCCUCUUUCCUCAGCCACGUGUGGUGUGUGAGCCUCACACUGUCUGUCCCUUCAGUGUAAGCGCUGUGUGGGAAGUCUGGCUCUUGCUGCUCAAAUUGCUCCUAUUUAGAGCCUGUUUAUUGUCCCAGUAGCUGCUCACCAGACAGCUCCAGUCCCUGAGUAGGCAGGCACAUCAUUACACAGACCUCAAACUCCUCUUCCUUACCCUACAUUCAUUGAAGGACGUUGAGGCUGUGGAACAAAAAGUCAUUCCCAAAGAGGAGCAAGCUACAGCCACCGACCUUUCAGCAACCCAGCAACUGCAGACGUCCCAAUUUCAUUUGCUGUUCAUCAGCCUCUGAGGUAAAUGUUUAGCAAGUGAAAUAAUGAUAAAACUCCUCACAAUGGGAGAGGGAAGCAGUGAGUCAGCAUUAGAAAUGAAACUUCAGGACCCCAGAUAAGGAUGUUAUAGAAGUAGAUGGCCAACAAAAAUGCAAUGUUCAUUUUUCAGAUGCAUCGAUAUUCACAGUAAUUAGGAAGUUCCUUUGGCAGUUUGCAAAGAUCCACCUUGGACAGAAUGCAUUGCAACCCCUCUGGAUCCCCUCACAAUUAUACAAGACGGAAGCAGGAAACAAAACAAAAUAUACUUUAUUAAAAUUAAGCACGUUAGCACCUCAGUGUAACCUGGAGAAGUCAAAGAGUCCAGCAGUUAACCAGUCCAGCGGGCUAAAGUGGCUGAACGUCCUGAAGUGCAUUCAUUCCAAUGGUAAAAAAAGUACCAUGACGGUUAAAAUGUGUGUUCUCAAGAAGCUAGGAUGCACAAAUGGUCUCGUUUGUAAGGAGAGACGUUGUGCUGCCUAUUGUCUUGAUGGGAGCAUAGAUCUGCUGGACCAAUUACUGAAUCACAUAGGCUGGCAGGUAUCUGCUUUCCUUACCAGCCCCCUUAACCCCUCAAAAGAAAAGUAAACGAAACAAACUUGCUGCUUACUUGACUUGCAGGAAGAUCAGUACACUGCAGAGCUGGAGUUAGAGCUACAUAUCAGAGAGAAUAAAUUAAAAUGAAAGAACAGGGAAUACUUAGUACAUGAAUAGACCUGUAGUAUCCUCACAGUCAACCAUCCAUCUCAGUACACACAGCAAUAAAGAAAUGACCCAUGCAUCACAUAGCAGGCUCUGACAACCAAUGCCUUCAGCUGAACUGGCUCCAUGAUCGACAGAUAAACCUCCAGCUACCAGAUGCCAAUGUGCCCCUUUUGUUCCCUCCUACAGAGGACAUAGAAACCCCCGGUUGGAAAGCAAUGUUAGCCAGCAUUACAAAGAUGACAGUAUUUUCAACCCAAAGCUACUUUUGACAUUUAGAAAAUACUUAUAGAAAAUGUAGUCAAAUCGCCGUCUCAACCUACUAAGUGUGUGUAACACAUCCCAAGUACAGGAAGAUGAUCUUAAAGACCCAGUAGCCACCUGGGCACUCCCUCAAUAAUAAUUAUGGGCACACUGUGGUGAACUGCCUUUUGUUUCCAACACACAUAAUAGUCAACCUGUCCCUCCCCCCCCAAGUACACAUGGAGAUGGAGUCAGAGCUGCAUACCAGAUGCCCUCCUCCUGGAGAGCACUAAGGGCUCCAUCCCAUGCCUCAGUCCAAGCUCAUCACCUCACAGCUCUCAUUCACAGCCUUCUGGCCAACUUCCAUUUGGUUUCCUGUUGCUGAACGUGAGGGGACAAACGCUGGCUAGAAACAGAAACUACACAAUCAUUCCACGUCAAUUUUGAUACAAUACUUUUAAAUCUCUGUUUAAAACACGCAAGCACAUUUCGUUAAGGUCUUACCUAAGGUACAGGUUAUUAGUCAUGCCAACUAGGUUAGGGUUAGACAGCAAAGGUUCGCAACCACUGCAGAUACAUUUUUGCUUCACUUUGGCUUCACCCCAGUUCGCUGAACCAAAGCCAAGGAUUUCAAUUCCAACGUGUUACAAAGCCUGUGGGAGUUCUUAAGCCACUGGGAUAAACUACAGACAUCAAAUGCCACCAGGUCCUUUGUACCAGGUCACAAUCCUCGCUAGUGUUGAGAGCAGAGACAACUGUAACAAAGCCGUAUGUACUGCUGAGAAAGCCAAGCCUAUAUGAGCACUCUUACACUGGGGACUGUUUCACACUAGAAAUGGCAGUUCUUUUACGGCGUCAGUAAUUUACUGAAGAAACACAUCACCCUGAGAGGGUUUCUAAAGCUUUCCUCAUGCCUUUGCUAAGCAAGGCCAAGCAAAACAUCGCUGUUCAUUCCUAUGAUGGGUACAGUGGCGACCAUGCUUUCAGACGUGCCUUCUCCAGGGGGUAGUGUUCCUGCCACCUCACUGAGCGCAGUUUAUGUGCUUCAAACCAACACCCUACAUCCACUUAGUGGUGACGUGGGGUCCCAAUGCCCUAAAUGAGAACGACUGCAAACUACACACAGGAUGCCAGCGGACUCGGCGUAGGCCAGAGGUGUCUCUAAGAGAACGCUGUGUGU